GUAGGGCGCAAGCGUUAUCCGGAAUUAUUGGGCGUAAAGAGCUCGUAGGCGGUUUGUCGCGUCUGCUGUGAAAUCCCGAGGCUCAACUUCGGGUCUGCAGUGGUACGGGCAGACUAGAGUGCGGUAGGGGAGAUUGGAAUUCCUGGUGUAGCGGUGGAAUGCGCAGAUAUCAGGAGGAACACCGAUGGCGAAGGCAGAUCUCUGGGCCGUAACUGACGCUGAGGAGCGAAAGGGUGGGGAGCAAACAGGCUUAGAUACCCUGGUAGUCCACCCCGUAAACGUUGGGAACUAGUUGUGGGGUCCAUUCCACGGAUUCCGUGACGCAGCAAACGCAUUAAGUUCCCCGCCUGGGGAGUACGGCCGCAAGGCUA
RNAcentral lists this ribosomal RNA (371 nucleotides) under uncultured bacterium. RNAcentral describes it as "bacterial SSU rRNA". It matches the Rfam family "Bacterial small subunit ribosomal RNA", at positions 527 to 896 of the family's 1533-position model. The record is from RNAcentral.